UUUUUUUCUUAGAGAGAGAGCGUGCAAACGAAGGGGAGGCGCAGAGGGAGGGGGAGAAAGAGGACCUCAAGCAGGCUCCACGCCCAGCACAGAGCCCAACGCGGGGCUCAAUCUCACGACCCUGAGAUCAUGACCUGAGCCAAAAUCAAGAAUCAGAUGCUUAACCAACGCCCUGAAAUCAGCACCCUGAUUUUAUUUUAUAUUAUAUUUUUUGAGGGGCAAAUUUGAAGAAACAUCCUUGCCCACAUAGACUUGGCCAUGGUGCUAUUGCUCAUGGACAUGAGCGGAGGGGUUAUAGGUGUCUCCGUGGUGUCUUAUUUUAUUCUGAACAACAAAAGUUUCAGAACCAAGACCUUUCCUUCUGCCACCUGCCUCUUUCUGUGCCUGAAUCUGCUCUUUCUCCUCUUGUUCCCUGGAGGAAGACGAUUACCCUCUAGUUAUCUCAGCAGUGCAAAAUUCCUCUCAAAAAUCUCCGUAGCCAGGAUUAUUAUCUUAAUUCGUCAAAUUCCAGGAAUACAUCAGUAUGGUAUGUUAUUCAGAGGUUUCUAGAUCUAGUGGGAGUUGAGACAGGCCCCCAGGGUUUUCUGCAGUCAACAUAUGUAAUAGCGCCAGGACUAGGUUUAUACGCUGAAAACAUGGAGCAGCAUUAAUUUGGGUCAUUUUUACAAGCCAUUAUGUAUCGAUUGACCAAAUUAGCUGAAUGUGAUGUGAAUUGAUUAAGGUAGCUAGAUUUACUAAUUGAUUGUACUGAAACAAAAAUCGUUUUGAUUAUAUAGAUGCAGACCAGAUCUUCUAAGAGACUAGAAUAAUGCACUGCGUGAUGGAGUUAUUACCAUGUGCUGUGACUCCCUAUGGUUCACAGGUGCUGGGAACAAAGGUGAGAGGUUAAAGGUGCUAAGUGGCCUAAUGGCUUGGGAAUUGACAGGGAGCAGAUUUCCAGUUUGGAUCGCAGAAAUCCGUGUACACAAGCUCUGCUAUGAGCCAUGUCAACUGUCACUAAAGCAGAGGGGAUGACAGAAAUGAAGCAAAGGCCAUGGAGAAGGCUAUCUGUUGCUAGGAAUAUUCUUCCGAGGGCACACUGCCUCCUGUAUACUGUUCUUUCUCAUUCCAAGUCACAGGGAUGAGUAAAAAAAAGGGGGGGGGGGAAGCAAAAUAAAACACUGACUAGUUAAUGGAGCAGGGACAGGAGCACAACCCAGAACUACUUGCUGAGUCCAGUUUUCAUCAGUCUUAUCAGAUGGGCACUCCCCCUUCUUGGGUGUGGGGUGAAGCACGUUGCUCCACAGUCACACACCCUGGGUUCUGGGCCACCCUUGCCAAUUUGACCCAUUGGCUGACACUUCUCUGCAUCUCAACUCUCUGAUCAGGAAAUCGGCUACAAUCCAUCCCAUCUUGUAGAAUUGUGUUAAGUAUCCGAUGAGAUAAACUCACAUAAGGCACUUAGUCCAGCGUCUUGCACCUUAUAUGUCCUCAAAAAUACGAGCCCUUUUUACGCCCAUCCUCAUUAUUAUAUCCGUCCGUCUUCCCCCUUCAUCAUCACUGAUUUGUCUUGGCUCAUCCUGCUUCUUAAUGCUCAGGCUCAGGUAUGCUUCCUCUGAGGUCCAGAAGCCACUGGUUCUGGCACGCUGCUUCCAAGGAGUUUCCUGUUGCACUGGCUUUGGGUUGGAUCGGCGGCCAGGGGAAAUGAAGUGAUAGCUAACGCUGCCUAAGGGAAAGAGGCCUGGUGCCAUAAAACACUGCCAGCAUGACAUAAUUUCCCACUGCUAAGAUUAGCAUCUCUUGCAGAAUCAGAAUACAGUAGUAGAGAUAACUCAGAGUAAAUUAAAUGAUUACUCUGCAAUCAACUUGCAAACUGCCCUUUUACUUUCAGUAAAAUAUGCAUCUCUUUUCUGACGCAUGUUUAUGACACAGAUUACCCACAUUUGCUGCCCUCUGGAGAAUAAAGAGGAGCCCUCCUCUAGAUUCCCUCUGCAGAGAGGUUUCAAAUUCUGGCAGAUAGAGACAGCAAUGCUAUUAUUCACAGGAACGGAUUCCACAGGCUGUGUGUCUCCCAUGUGAGCAAAAGCAUUUCAUCAAAUUGUUGUAUUGUUUAAAGCAAGGCUGCUUAUGGCCGUAAAGAGGGCUCCAGCCACCUACUUCGACUCCAGGUACACCAACACCAACACACAUCCUGCCUGCAGCCCACUCCUUCGCCUUCUUACUUACUAACCUUUAUCUCAACCCUGAAACCUUCAAUUCUUUUCCCAAUCCAUAGCCUUAACCUUGGCAUUUUUCAAGAACCAGUCCGUCCUUUGAAGAUGCUUAUCCUUCACAGAGUUACUUUAAAAGUAGGUCUCAAAACCGAAAAUGGAUUCAUUGGAACUCUGCUUCUAAACGAUCUAAAUCAGAGAGUGCCCUGUCCUGGUGGUGGUUAAUCCUGGCUGUGCCUCCGAAUCCCCUCUGGUGAUUUGACGGGGAUAUGAGGGCCUCAGCCCUAGAGACCAUCAAGGGGGGUAUGAGGCUUCAGAAUGAGAACUUCUACAAACUUCCACACGGCCUACAGUGUGCAGCCAGCCUGUGAACCAUUUUGCUUUUCAUUUUGCCACUCCGAGUACCCUCAAGGUCCUACAUGAGAAACUCCUUUUAGGAUUCGAAGCCAAGGAAAUUUUUUUCUAAUAAAGACACAGCUUUCUCUCUUUUCCGAAAGAGAGAGAUUUAUUAUAAUUCACUUUACUUCUUAUUAUACCUGAUAGAAGGAAACUUAGAGUAAAUUUAAGGUUCAAUCAUAGAAGCCAUCUGACCUCUCAUGGCAAGUAUAUUCAAGCCCUUAUUUCUUGAUGUAAUUUUAAUAUCUCUCAUAAAUAUGUUUGUUAUAUAUUUUACUGUGAGUUUCUUUAUAUUCUUGAGGGAGUUGUGUCUUGUUUUGGCUCUUCAAUUUUCUCAACGAUCCAAGAGUGAAAAUGGGCUAAAUAAUAAUAAUUACCACUAGUGCUCUUCCUCCUCUUCCUACUAUUACUGCUGAUAUUUCUUGCAGUUUCUUGAAUGUUCUAUAUACCAGAUCCUGUGACAGGGGACUCAUGUAUGCAACCCAUGUCAAUUGCCCUUCUUUCUCUACAUAGGGGGCUAAAUUUGGAUUCAGCACCCAACCGUCUAUAGCUUGCUCAGUUCCUGAUCAAGAAAUCCUUCUCGGGGAUUUUUGUUCGUUCUGAGCAGGAAUCCCAGCUCUCACAGCUGCCUCAACUUUUCUCCGUUUAUAAGAAUAUGCAUGUUUGUCCCAGAUGCGAAACUCAACUUUUCUUCAUACUUGUCAUUGGAAGUCCUUUCAUAAAAAGCUUCACCAAGAGACUAAGUCUUCCCAAAGAAUCAAGGGGGCUGAGGACGUUUACACUACAAUUUAACUGCAUAUUAGACCUUUUUUAUCUAAAAAGUUCUGUUUUGCUACUCUAAUAAAUGAAAGGUUUGCCCACUGGUUAUUUCCCUAGAUUAGGGAUCAGCAAACCUCUUCUGUGCAGGAUGGGAGGGUAACUACUUUAGGCUUCGUGGACCAUAUGGUCUUUGUCACAACUACUCAACUCUGCCCUGGUCCUGUGAAAGCUGCCGCAGACGGUAUGUAAACAAAUGAGUCCUGACUCUAUUCAAUACAACUUUAUUCAAAAAACAGGUGGCAGGCUGAAUUUGGCCUGUAGG
This 3666-nucleotide long non-coding RNA is filed under the name Canis lupus familiaris (dog). Its description in RNAcentral is "lncRNA (ENSCAFG00000052720.1)". Lineage: Eukaryota; Metazoa; Chordata; Mammalia; Carnivora; Canidae. The record is from RNAcentral.